UACGGAGGGUGCAAGCGUUAUCCGGAUUUACUGGGUGUAAAGGGAGCGUAGGCGGCGAUGCAAGUCAGAAGUGAAAGCCCGGGGCUCAACUCCGGGACUGCUUUUGAAACUGCCAAGCUAGAGUGUCGGAGAGGUAAGUGGAAUUCCUAGUGUAGCGGUGAAAUGCGUAGAUAUUAGGAGGAACACCAGUGGCGAAGGCGGCUUACUGGACGAUGACUGACGCUGAGGCACGAAAGCGUGGGGAGCAAAUAGG
This 253-nucleotide ribosomal RNA is filed under the name uncultured Eubacteriales bacterium. RNAcentral's name for it is "uncultured Clostridiales bacterium partial 16S ribosomal RNA". It matches the Rfam family "Bacterial small subunit ribosomal RNA", at positions 524 to 776 of the family's 1533-position model. Lineage: Bacteria; Bacillati; Bacillota; Clostridia; Eubacteriales. The record is from RNAcentral.